RNAcentral lists this long non-coding RNA (297 nucleotides) under Glycine max (soybean). Its description in RNAcentral is "long non-coding RNA (GMAX_LNC000995)". Lineage: Eukaryota; Viridiplantae; Streptophyta; Magnoliopsida; Fabales; Fabaceae. The record is from RNAcentral.
AAUCCUUCACAUUCAUCGUCACACCGCCGCAUGCGAGUUCGACCACCAUCACGUAGCUCUCGCACGAGGUUCCCAAGACUUCGUCGCACAUCAUCGUGUCGUCCGCUCACCCACAUCAUUGUGGCAUCGUCAUUGAGCAGUCACCGCCAUCGCACACCCCUCCGUGCCCACACUAGCUAGUUAGUGCUCUUACAUCUUAUACAAAGUGACCACAUUGUAUGUGUGUUGCCAUAUGUUUGUGAUCGUGAGAGAGGCGAGGUGCGUGAGGGAGCGAGUAACUGAGCUGAAUAAAGCUUG